UAAAAGUCAGUGAGCUGUUAUGUUUUCUUCCCUCUGACUUCAAUUCCUUGAUUCUUUCAAUUUUUUAAAAUAUAAAUUUACUGUCUAAAAGCUGGAUCAGCUUAUGCUCCUUUGUUGAGAGAAGUUGGCAUGCUGUCAAGUGGGCUGGGCACACUGAGUUUCAGUUUCCUUUCUCUGAGUCUUUGAAGCUUCAAGGCUGCUGAAUAAUUUCCUUCUCCCAUUUUGUGCCUGCCUAGCUAUCCAGACAGAGCAGCUACCCUCAGCUCUAGCUGAUACUACAGACAGUACAACAGAUCAAGAAGUAUGGCAGUGACAACUCGUUUGACAUGGUUGCAUGAAAAGAUCCUGCAAAAUCAUUUUGGAGGGAAGCGGCUUAGCCUUCUCUAUAAGGGUAGUGUCCAUGGAUUCCGUAAUGGAGUUUUGCUUGACAGAUGUUGUAAUCAAGGGCCUACUCUAACAGUGAUUUACAGUGAAGAUCAUAUUAUUGGAGCAUAUGCAGAAGAGAGUUACCAGGAAGAAAAGUAUGCUUCCAUCAUCCUUUUCGCACUUCAAGAGACUAAAAUUUCAGAAUGGAAACUAGGACUAUAUACACCAGAAACACUGUUUUGUUGUGAUGUUACAAAAUAUAACUCCCCAACUAAUUUCCAGAUAGAUGGAAGAAAUAGAAAAGUGAUUAUGGACUUAAAGACAAUGGAAAAUCUUGGACUUGCUCAAAAUUGUACUAUCUCUAUUCAGGAUUAUGAAGUUUUUCGAUGCGAAGAUUCACUGGAUGAAAGAAAGAUAAAAGGGGUCAUUGAGCUCAGGAAGAGCUUACUGUCUGCCUUGAGAACUUAUGAACCAUAUGGAUCCCUGGUUCAACAAAUACGAAUUCUGCUGCUGGGUCCAAUUGGAGCUGGGAAGUCCAGCUUUUUCAACUCAGUGAGGUCUGUUUUCCAAGGGCAUGUAACGCAUCAGGCUUUGGUGGGCACUAAUACAACUGGGAUAUCUGAGAAGUAUAGGACAUACUCUAUUAGAGACGGGAAAGAUGGCAAAUACCUGCCGUUUAUUCUGUGUGACUCACUGGGGCUGAGUGAGAAAGAAGGUGGCCUGUGCAGGGAUGACAUAUUCUACAUCUUGAACGGUAACAUUCGUGAUAGAUACCAGUUUAAUCCCAUGGAAUCAAUCAAAUUAAAUCAUCAUGACUACAUUGAUUCCCCAUCGCUGAAGGACAGAAUUCAUUGUGUGGCAUUUGUAUUUGAUGCCAGCUCUAUUGAAUACUUCUCCUCUCAGAUGAUAGUAAAGAUCAAAAGAAUUCGAAGGGAGUUGGUAAACGCUGGUGUGGUACAUGUGGCUUUGCUCACUCAUGUGGAUAGCAUGGAUCUGAUUACAAAAGGUGACCUUAUAGAAAUAGAGAGAUGUGUGCCUGUGAGGUCCAAGGUAAUGAAUGAUGCCCUUCGUAAACACAUUUUCUGGGGUAUGUUACUACAAUCACAUACUAGUGUGUAUAAAAGUAAAAACAAGCAGCUACUGGGUUUAAGAAGAAUUACAAAAUUACUUAAAUAGGGCCCAUUUCCCAAGAUUUAAAAAUUAAAUACAGUUGUUCCUUGGUAUUUGCAGGGGAUUAGUUCCAGGACUUUGCAUUGUUACCAAAAUCUGUGGAUGCUUAAUGGCAUAGUAAUUGUAUUUGCAUAUAACCUAUGCACAUCCUUUGGUAUACUUUAAAUAAUAUCUAGAUUACUUAUAAUACCUAACCCAAAUUAAAUGCUUUGUAAAUAGUUGUUCUACUCUAUUUUUAAUUAUUAAUGACAAGAAAAUAACCUGUACGUGUUCAGUACAGGUGAAAUAUUUUUUCAAAUUUUAUUUUUUUGAGAUGAAGUUUCUGUUGCCCAGGCUGGAGUGCAGUGGCAUGAUUUCGGCUCACUGCAACCUCCGCCUCCUGGGUUCAAGUGAUUCUCCUGCCUCUGUCUCUCAGCAGCUGGGAUUACAGGCACGUGCCACCAUGCCUGGCUAAUCUUUUCUGGUAGAGAUGAGGUUUCACCAUGUUGGCCAGGCUGGUCUCAAACUCCUGACCUCAGGUGAUCUGCUCGUCUCGGUCCCCCAAAGUUCUGGGAUUAAGGCAUGAGUCCCUAUACCCAGCCUUUUUUUUUCAAUUUUUUUUGAGCCUUAGUUGAACUCACAGAUGCAGAACCCAUGGAUACAGAAGGCUAACUGUCUAUCUUUACACUGACAUGGCUAGAGGAAGUCCAGAGAAAACUUGGAUUUGCUCUUUCUGACAUCUCGGUGGUUAGCAAUUAUUCCUCUGAGUGGGAGCUGGACCCUGUAAAGGAUGUUCUAAUUCUUUCUGCUCUGAGACGAAUGCU
This is an RNA transcript of Gorilla gorilla gorilla (western lowland gorilla), 2339 nucleotides long. It is a transcript of the gene named interferon induced protein 44, with no coding region annotated. The transcript has 8 exons. The record is from RefSeq and is a predicted model, not a curated record. NCBI's taxonomy places the organism in Eukaryota, Metazoa, Chordata, Mammalia, Primates, Hominidae.